Molecule: ribosomal RNA, 497 nt
Filed under: uncultured bacterium
Lineage: Bacteria
Description: partial 16S ribosomal RNA
Rfam family: Bacterial small subunit ribosomal RNA
Source: RNAcentral
GAUGAACGCUGGCGGCGUGCCUAAUACAUGCCAGUCGAGCGAACGGACGAGAAGCUUGCUUUUCUGAUGUUAGCGGCGGACGGGUGAGUAACACGUGGAUAACCUACCUAUAAGACUGGGAUAACUUCGGGAAACCGGAGCUAAUACCGGAUAAUAUUUUGAACCGCAUGGUUCAAAAGUGAAAGACGGUCUUGCUGUCACUUAUAGAUGGAUCCGCGCUGCAUUAGCUAGUUGGUAAGGUAACGGCUUACCAAGGCAACGAUGCAUAGCCGACCUGAGAGGGUGAUCGGCCACACUGGAACUGAGACACGGUCCAGACUCCUACGGGAGGCAGCAGUAGGGAAUCUUCCGCAAUGGGCGAAAGCCUGACGGAGCAACGCCGCGUGAGUGAUGAAGGUCUUCGGAUCGUAAAACUCUGUUAUUAGGGAGGAACAUAUGUGUAAGUAACUGUGCACAUCUUGACGGUACCUAAUCAGAAAGCCACGGCUAACUACGUG